UACCGUCACCAACAGGAAGUGAUGACAGUCCUUACCCUCAACAACAGGAAGUGAUUAAAGUCUUUAUCCUCACCAAAAGGAAGUGAUGAAAGUCCUAACCCUCACCAACAGGAAGAAGUGAUGAAAAUCUUAAUGUCCACAGUUUAGGUUCAGUUUCCUGUGUGCUGAGGAGAUUCUGUUUAUUCUCUAAAUCUGGUCCAGGUUUUCUGUUAGUUUGUCUCCUGAUUCUGAUCCAAACUGUUCUCUCUCCUGUGUUUCUCAUGUUACAGGGAAUCUAAGCUCUAAACCAAAACAAAAUUCGGUAAAGAAAAAACAGUUCUUGAGAGGAACCAGAAUUUUAACACAUCACAAAAAACUUAUUUGUUGUUCAUUUUUUAAAUCUCAGUGAUUUUUGUUUGUUAAGAAUAAUGAUCUAAAAUGUAUUCAGUCUGUGGAAGCAUA
This is a long non-coding RNA of Melanotaenia boesemani (Boeseman's rainbowfish), 441 nucleotides long. RefSeq lists it as uncharacterized. NCBI's taxonomy places the organism in Eukaryota, Metazoa, Chordata, Actinopteri, Atheriniformes, Melanotaeniidae. The transcript has 2 exons. The record is from RefSeq and is a predicted model, not a curated record.